UUCGCAAUGCCCGAAAGGGUGACGAAGCGACGCCGCGUGAGCGAAGAAGGCCCUAGGGUUGUAAAGCUCUGUCAGGGGUUAUGAAAUGUAAAACGGUUAAUACCCGGUUUAUUUGACAAAGGCCCCAAAGGAAGCCACGGCUAACUCUGUGCCAGCAGCCGCGGUAAUACAGAGGUGGCGAGCGUUGUUCGGUAUUAUUGGGCGUAAAGAGCACGUAGGUGGUUUUGUAAGUCAGAUGUGAAAGCCUUCUGUUCAAAGGAAGAACGGCAUCUGAAACUGCAGAUCUUGAGUGUAGGAGGGGAGAGUGGAACUUCUGGUGGAGCGGUGAAAUGCGUAGAUAUCAGAAGGAACGUCGGCGGCGAAAGCGACUCUCUGGCCUAUUACUGACACUGAGUGUGCGAAAGUUAGGGGAGCAAACGGGAUUAGAUACCCCGGUAGUCCUAACCGUAAACGAUGGGCACUAAGUAGAGGGGUUUU
RNAcentral lists this ribosomal RNA (477 nucleotides) under uncultured anaerobic ammonium-oxidizing bacterium. Its description in RNAcentral is "bacterial SSU rRNA". It matches the Rfam family "Bacterial small subunit ribosomal RNA", at positions 365 to 832 of the family's 1533-position model. The record is from RNAcentral.